GUAGUCUCGCACAGAUGCAUAUCAAUAAGCGGAGGAAAAGAAACUAACAAGGAUUCCCCUAGUAACGGCGAGUGAAGCGGGAAGAGCUCAAAUUUGAAAUCUUAAAGGGUUUCCCUUUACGAAUUGUAGUUUAAAGAAGUGUUUUCUGUUGAGGUUUUGGUAAAAGUUCUUUGGAAUAGGACAUCAUAGAGGGUGAGAAUCCCGUAUUGACCUUUACUUUCAACUUUGUGAUACACUUUCAAAGAGUCGGAUUGUUUGGGAAUGCAGUCCAAAAUGGGUGGUAAAUUUCAUCUAAAGCUAAAUAUUGGCGAGAGACCGAUAGCGAACAAGUACCGUGAGGGAAAGAUGAAAAGAACUUUGAAAAGAGAGUUAAACAGUACGUGAAAUUGUCAAAAGGGAAGCGUUUGACACCAGUGUUGUUUUUCUGAAAAUCAAUUAAAGAACUGUUUAUGCUAAGUUGUUUAGACUUUAUCAGCUAACUGUUUAGUUUUGAGCUUUUCUUUAAUGCACUUUUCAGUUAACAAGUCAACAUCAAUUUCUUUUGCUGUAAAAAAGCUUGAGGAAGGUGGCUUGAGAUUCGUCUUAAGUGUUUAUAGCCUCUUGCCUAUGCAGUCGGAGAGAUUGAGGUCUGCAGCGUAGAUCCUUCGGGGCUAAAUGCAUUUGUGCUAAGUUAUAGCAUUUUAUAGACAACUUGUUGACUAUGAUUUGUCUUGUAGCUUACUCGCUUAUGUUAUUUUACCUACGCUUAGGAUGUUGAUCUGUAGUGCGUGCGC
This 773-nucleotide ribosomal RNA is filed under the name uncultured Neocallimastigales. RNAcentral describes it as "partial large subunit ribosomal RNA". It matches the Rfam family "Eukaryotic large subunit ribosomal RNA", at positions 24 to 646 of the family's 3401-position model. Lineage: Eukaryota; Fungi; Neocallimastigomycota; Neocallimastigomycetes; Neocallimastigales. The record is from RNAcentral.